This 27-nucleotide small RNA is filed under the name Bombyx mori (domestic silkworm). RNAcentral's name for it is "piRNA piR-bmo-1987726". Lineage: Eukaryota; Metazoa; Arthropoda; Insecta; Lepidoptera; Bombycidae. The record is from RNAcentral.
UCAGUCUAGGAACGGGCAGUUGUUUGA